RNAcentral lists this ribosomal RNA (568 nucleotides) under Weissella paramesenteroides. RNAcentral describes it as "bacterial SSU rRNA". It matches the Rfam family "Bacterial small subunit ribosomal RNA", at positions 200 to 756 of the family's 1533-position model. The record is from RNAcentral. Lineage: Bacteria; Bacillati; Bacillota; Bacilli; Lactobacillales; Lactobacillaceae.
UUGAAAGAUGGUUCUGCUAUCACUAAGAGAUGGACCCGCGGUGCAUUAGCUAGUUGGUAAGGUAAUGGCUUACCAAGGCGAUGAUGCGUAGCCGAGUUGAGAGACUGAUCGGCCACAAUGGGACUGAGACACGGCCCAUACUCCUACGGGAGGCAGCAGUAGGGAAUCUUCCACAAUGGGCGCAAGCCUGAUGGAGCAACGCCGCGUGUGUGAUGAAGGGUUUCGGCUCGUAAAACACUGUUAUAAGAGAAGAACGACAUUGAGAGUAACUGUUCAGUGUGUGACGGUAUCUUAUCAGAAAGGAACGGCUAAAUACGUGCCAGCAGCCGCGGUAAUACGUAUGUUCCAAGCGUUAUCCGGAUUUAUUGGGCGUAAAGCGAGCGCAGACGGUUAUUUAAGUCUGAAGUGAAAGCCCUCAGCUCAACUGAGGAAGGGCUUUGGAAACUGGAUAACUUGAGUGCAGUAGAGGAAAGUGGAACUCCAUGUGUAGCGGUGAAAUGCGUAGAUAUAUGGAAGAACACCGGUGGCGAAAGCGGCUUUCUGGACUGUAACUGACGUUGAGGCUCGA